GUGGGGAAUAUUGCACAAUGGGCGCAAGCCUGAUGCAGCAACGCCGCGUGAGGGACGACGGCCUUCGGGUUGUAAACCUCUUUUAGCAGGGAAGAAGCGAAAGUGACGGUACCUGCAGAAAAAGCACCGGCUAACUACGUGCCAGCAGCCGCGGUAAUACGUAGGGUGCAAGCGUUAUCCGGAAUUAUUGGGCGUAAAGAGCUCGUAGGCGGUCUGUCGCGUCUGCUGUGAAAACUGGAGGCUCAACCUCCAGCCUGCAGUGGGUACGGGCAGACUAGAGUGCGGUAGGGGAGAUUGGAAUUCCUGGUGUAGCGGUGGAAUGCGCAGAUAUCAGGAGGAACACCGAUGGCGAAGGCAGAUCUCUGGGCCGUAACUGACGCUGAGGAGCGAAAGCGUGGGGAGCGAACAGGAUUAGAUACCCGAGUAGUCC
This 430-nucleotide ribosomal RNA is filed under the name uncultured bacterium. Its description in RNAcentral is "bacterial SSU rRNA". It matches the Rfam family "Bacterial small subunit ribosomal RNA", at positions 354 to 796 of the family's 1533-position model. The record is from RNAcentral.